CAAGUCAGAUGUGAAAUCAUGGGGCUCAACCCUGUGGCUGUAUCUGAAACUGUAGAGCUUGAGUGUAUGAGGGGUACCCGGAAUUCCUAGUGUAGGAGUGAAAUCCGUAGAUAUUAGGAGGAACACCAAUGGCGUAGGCAGGGUACUGGCAUAUUACUGACACUGAGGCACGAAAGCGUGGGAGCGAACGGGAUUAGAUACCCGGUAGUCCACGCCGUAAACGAUGGAUGCUA
RNAcentral lists this ribosomal RNA (233 nucleotides) under uncultured Candidatus Saccharibacteria bacterium. RNAcentral's name for it is "partial 16S ribosomal RNA". It matches the Rfam family "Bacterial small subunit ribosomal RNA", at positions 584 to 818 of the family's 1533-position model. The record is from RNAcentral. Lineage: Bacteria; Candidatus Saccharimonadota.